UGCAGAAUCCCGUGAACCAUCGAGUCUUUGAAUGCAAGUUGCGCCCAAUACCUUUAGGUUGAGGGCACGUCUGCCUGGGUGUCACAC
This 87-nucleotide ribosomal RNA is filed under the name Helleborus foetidus. RNAcentral describes it as "partial 5.8S ribosomal RNA". It matches the Rfam family "5.8S ribosomal RNA", at positions 73 to 154 of the family's 154-position model. From Rfam's summary of the family: 5.8S ribosomal RNA (5.8S rRNA) is a component of the large subunit of the eukaryotic ribosome. It is transcribed by RNA polymerase I as part of the 45S precursor that also contains 18S and 28S rRNA. Lineage: Eukaryota; Viridiplantae; Streptophyta; Magnoliopsida; Ranunculales; Ranunculaceae. The record is from RNAcentral.